Molecule: non-coding RNA, 145 nt
Organism: Caenorhabditis elegans
Lineage: Eukaryota; Metazoa; Nematoda; Chromadorea; Rhabditida; Rhabditidae
Source: Ensembl
CCCCCACACACAGGGUCGAUGGGACCAUCCUUCUUCUUCUCUCUCACUCCCAUCCUAGGUCGCCCAUCCUAUUUCGUGUUCACAAAGUGCUUGACCACAAAAAAGGUAAUAGAAUAGAUACAAUCGAGGAGCUCGAGAAACAUUU